Molecule: ribosomal RNA, 442 nt
Filed under: Heteropachylus gracilis
Lineage: Eukaryota; Metazoa; Arthropoda; Arachnida; Opiliones; Gonyleptidae
Description: partial large subunit ribosomal RNA
Rfam family: Bacterial large subunit ribosomal RNA (bases 295-442)
Source: RNAcentral
UUUCUUAAUUGGAAACUGGAAUGAAGGGUGGAAACUUAAUGGAAUGUUUUAUUUGAUUAGUUUGAAUUUAAAUUAAAAGUAAAAAUGCUUUUAUAAAUUCUUGGGACGAGAAGACCCUAGAAGCUUAUUAAAAGAGAAUUUUUUUUGUUGGGGCAACAAUUGAAGAGAUUAAUUUUUAAUUUUAGAAAGAGAGAAUAAAAUAUUCUUAUAUUAAUAAGUAAGGUCUACUUGUAGUAUUUAAAUAAAUAUUUUAUUUUUUUAUGUAUAAGAAAAUUAAUUGAAAGUUACUCUAGGGAUAACAGCGUUAUUUAAUUGGAGAGUUCUUAUUAAUAAUUAAGGUUGCGACCUCGAUGUUGAAUUAAAUUAAAUUUUUGGUGAAGGAGCUAAAAUAAAUUAGUCUGUUCGACUAUUAAAAAUUUACGUGAUCUGAGUUCAGACCGGA